CGCUGCUACUUUCCCGCCUGGCCGCUUCGCAGCUGCAGCCCAUGGGCUUGCCGGCGACGCUCGUCCAGGCAGGGAGUCCCCAACGCUCGCCGGCGACGCGUAGUCCCCCAGGCCAACAGCAUCGUUCCUCCACCAUACGCUCCGAGGAUGAGGGUCGCGGAAAGGCGAGGUGUGCUGCGACGCGAUGUGGUCAUCAAUCGGCUGGCGGCGGCAGUGGCAAGAGGCGUGCACGACCGAGGCAUAAGCGGCCGCGCGGCCGAGAGGGCCCCGUCCCCGUGGGCAGGAGAGCGUGCACGUGGUCAGAGGAAGUGCACGCUUACCCUCCGUCGCCUGCUUCUGCGCCUACCUCCGGACUCUAGUCGUUCCUGACACGCGCUGCCUGCCGCUCGCGAAGGAGCAGCGGUGUCCGCGCCGGCGCCAAGAAAGGCACACGCGACGAAGCAGGCAAGCAGUGCUGGUCCUUUGUAGCUCUCUUGUACCCCUGUGCGCCCUCCCGCUCAGCAGAGAACACCCUAGCAGGCGGGUCAGUCGUUGACAUGGAGGACGCCCAUUAGCUGCUCGAUGAAAUUCCUCCAAGGCAAGCCGCUACUCAUCGGGAAGAACCAUGCCAUUGUCGCCGUGUGUGCUUGUGGAGCUAUAGAUGCAACAGCUUGCGAAUCACUGCAGCCACUCAUUUUGCAAGCUCUAGCUCCAUCAAAGCCAAUAUGUUUAUAGAGUCUGCAAGCUUGCCUGUAGACUCGAUCGAGUCGAUUCCUCGCGAUUCCGCUCAGCCAAAAACCUUAUCCCCAGUUCCCCACCACCUCGCAAGCAUUGAGAAGGCCAAGCCACGGGCGUGCUUCCAUCGCUGCCGCCUUCUCGCCCUGCUGCAGCCUGAUCCUCGCUGCUGCUUCCUGUCCCCUCCCCUUUCCUCCCUGAUGCUUGAUGGUAUGCUCUUCUUGCUCACUAUGUACUUGUCAAAAUGAUUCACCGGAGGUUUGAUGAUAUCUCACGGUGAUGUAUACUUGCAACAGGCUACUCAUUUAAUUUGUUGAUUUUAUUUGCAGAAAAACAGCAAUUCUCCACUCAUAGUACAUGCAAUUCCUUGCUCUUUUAUUCUCAAACUAUCUUUUCAUGAGUGAGUCACUGGCUCAAUGCUGUUAUAUAUAUGUGGAUCAUUAAAUUCAUAUGCCUGAUUUGACACGGCAUGCUAAGAAGUCACUUAUUUAGCUAAAAAAGCAAUAGAUCAUCUGAAUGUUAAAUUAGAUUCUGUAUGUGUGGAAGCACCAGAAUCGUAGAAGAAAAUAAUGCAGUUUCAGGCGUUAUAAUGGCUUUUCUCAUCCUUUAUACUUCCUUCAAUAGAUAACAGUAAAUUCUGAACUUUUGAUUUAUGCUACAAACUUGAAAGUAGCAAGAUUUACCAUUUGAGUGAACUCUGCAAAUCUUAAUUUUGAUCAUCUGCCAGUUUGCAUCCCUUAACUAUACUGGAGCCACAUAAAAAGCACACUUGAAGUAAGUUGCUGUAUAAAAUUUACAGGCAAAUAGGCAAUGCAUUUCACAUUUAACGUUAUUCUCCACUGAAAGUAAAAUAUUACAUAGCCAGUACAAUUUGUGGAAAGGAAAAUCCUACCUUUGCUUUUGCUUGGAAGAUAGAAAUCUGAAGCAUUUACCAUGUUGUCUGUUUCCUACUAAAGCAAGUGACACCAAUCUUGUUACUUCGUAAUUUUAUCCAGUUUAACGUGUGGGAUAAGGAAUCCUAAAAAAAACAUGUGGGAUAAGGUGAACCAUUUAUUUUUCUUUGCUUGACGACACUGACAUUUUGGCUCUCAAUUCACCACCAUUGCUGAUGUAUCGAUCUUUCACCCAUACAGGUUGCAAAUAGCUUGCCGGCAAAGGCAAUAGCUUUUCAAAAGGUCUUCCAGAAGAAGGUACCACAAUUCCUCCAUCUAUCAUUUGUGUGCUCUGAAUAGAUUUGUAACUCGUGAUUCCUAAGCGAAAUAUCACAGAAGAUCACUGGAUUUCCAAUUCCAAAUGUUGCCAAAAGGAUAUUGUCAAAUAUACCAUGAAGAAGAAGCCACUUACAUGGAUAAAGAGCAACAUCUACUUAGGUGCUGAGAUACCCUGCUGCAUAGUAGUUUGAAAUAUAUUAACUAAGAGCUUCAUACUACUGAUCCUUGAGAUUCAGUUUCUGCCAGCAAGUUCUCAUAGUUAACUAUAUUUUUUAUUUAUUUAUACAUUGUCAUGUGCUGCAUGGAGAUGUUGUUAUAUUUUAUUCUAAUAAUGUAUCCUGCAUCACUUUAUUAUA
This is a long non-coding RNA of Setaria italica (foxtail millet), 2281 nucleotides long. RefSeq lists it as uncharacterized. The record is from RefSeq and is a predicted model, not a curated record. NCBI's taxonomy places the organism in Eukaryota, Viridiplantae, Streptophyta, Magnoliopsida, Poales, Poaceae. The transcript has 2 exons.